AAUCAAGUGGAGGACAAGUCUGGUGCCAGCACCCGCGGUAAUUCCAGCUCCACUAGCGUAUAUUAAAGUUGUUGCAGUUAAAAAGCUCGUAGUUGAACCUCUGUCUGGGGCUAGUUUUGGCUUUGGUCAGGCUAGUUCUAGGCAUCCGCCUACAAGACUUAGAGGGCAUUCAGUUGUUCACUAGGAGGAGUAGGCAUUUUACUUUGAAAAAAUUAGAGUGUUUAAGGCAGGCAAUCGCCCGCAUAUAUUAGCACGGAAUAAUAGAAUAGGACACUUUUCCAUUUCGCUGGUUAUUGGAAUCGUGUAAUGAUUAAUAGGGACAGUUGUGGGCAUUUGUAUUUAAUUGUCAGAGGUGAAAUUCUUGGAUUUAUUAAAGACAAACUAACGCGAAAGCAUUUGCCAAGGAUGUUUUCAUUAAUCAAGAACGAAAGUUAGGGGAUCAAAGACGAUCAGAUACCGUCCUAGUCUUAACUAUAAACUAUUCCGACUCAAUGUUUGACUGGCUUAUAUAACCAGUUGAGCGUUGUAUGAGAAAUCAAAGUCUUUAGGUUCUGGGGGGAGUAUGGUUGCAAAGCUGAAACUUAAAGGAAUUGACGGAAGAGCACAACCAGGAGUGGAUUCUGCGGCUUAAUUUGACUCAACACGGGGAAACUUACCAGGUUAAAACAAUAGUGGGAUUGACAGUUUGAGAGCGCUUUCUUGAUUGGUUGGGUGGUGGUGCAUGGCCGUUCUUAGUUGGUGGAGUGAUUUGUCUGCUUAAUUGCGUUAACGAACGAGACCUUAACCUGCUUACUAGACUGGCGAUCAUCAAUCGUUAGCUCUGCUUAGAGGGACUUUGGUUGUUUUAACUCCAAGGAAGUUUGAGGCAAUAACAGGUCUGUGAUGCCCUUAGAUAUCCUGGGCCGCACGCGUCAUACAAUGACUAGUUCAGAAAGUUUUCUCCUGACCCGAAAGGGGAUGGGUAAUCUUGAUAAUACUAGUCGUGUUAGGGAUCGAUCUUUGCAAUUAUAGAUCUUGAACGAGGAAUUCCUAGUAAGUGCGGUUCAUCAGACCGUACUGAUUACGUCCCUGCUCUUUGUACACACCGCCCGUCGCUUCUACCGAGUGGGUGGUCCGGUGAGAUAAUUGAACUUCGCAGGUAACUGAGAGGAAAGAUUAUCAAACCUAUCCACCU
This 1174-nucleotide ribosomal RNA is filed under the name metagenome. RNAcentral describes it as "SSU rRNA". It matches the Rfam family "Eukaryotic small subunit ribosomal RNA", at positions 542 to 1774 of the family's 1831-position model. The record is from RNAcentral.